ACGUAGUCGAGCGGGAAUCACGGAAGGCCGUGCGUUGCAUCAUCCGGAAGAAGAUUCACGCUAAGUGGUUCGGAAACCGCGGGAGAUUCGUGCUGAAUAGCGACCAACGUAAAAACAUCAUCAGUCCAUCGACGAGGUUUGCACCGGAUCAGAACAGCGAACACCCGUAGAUCGCCAGCACACUUGACCGGCAGCAGUGCUAAUCUGGCCUACGUUGAUACUUAUUCCGUACGGGAAACCCGACAGAACGCCCGGAACGACGCUGAGCAUCACGACACAGCAAAGAAGCCUUCCAAGAAGAAGGCUUUUUGUGUUUGCUUUCAGCUCGUCCACAUCGGCUGUACGGAAAGAGCGGGACCGAUCAUCGGCGCCGCAUGGGCGUCUGAACGACAGGGCUGUGCGCGGGAUCCGGACAAGCUGCGAUUCGAAGGAGGGAUCCAUACGUAACUGUUAGGGAGAACUUGGCUCAAGCGCAGUCGUGUCGACACUGGUAACCUUCAAAUUGAGGCGUUGGUUCAGGUGGCAAUAAGAAACGAUCAGUCGUCGUGUGGGUGGCAGCGAGGCGGCGUGGAAGUUGCCGCUACGAAGGAGACAGCCAGUCGGCCGGUAUAGGCGUCAACGGUGAGCUGAAACCGAUUUGUGCUUGAAUCGGACGGAAGAAGCUGGGAGAGAGGAUUCCGGCAUGAACAGGGUGCACCCUCCAGAAGAACCGUGAGUACGGCGAAGAAAUUUGCGCAAGAAUGCGAAAGAUCUAGAUAGCGAUAGGGCAGUAGCUAGUUAGAGUAGAAAUGGGACUGUGGCCAAUGAUACGGUGAAUAAAGCUUGUACACAAUGAACAUACUCUUUAGUGGCGUUUAGGUUGUUAGCCGGUCCGACCAAUGCUUUUUCCCAUCCCGCAGAGGUCGUUUCACAA
Molecule: long non-coding RNA, 913 nt
Organism: Aedes albopictus (Asian tiger mosquito)
Lineage: Eukaryota; Metazoa; Arthropoda; Insecta; Diptera; Culicidae
Exons: 4
Source: RefSeq, a predicted model, not a curated record